CUACAAUUAAAAACGCAAUCGAUCUAACCUUUUUGCCCGUAAAACUGUAAACACUAUAAAUAUAACUGAUUUAUCAAAUUCAUGUGCUGAUACACUGAUACACACACUUGGAAAAAAAAUGGAUAAAGUUAUUGUUUCUCUUGAAUCACAAUUUAAAAUUUUGAUACUGGUGUUAUCAAUCGUAACUACUCGGCCAUUCUCGCUACGCAGUACAAUAGCCUCGUAUGCACUACGGAGAAAUUCUUCUUAAAUUGUUGGCCGGAAUUGUAGUGAUCCGCGACACAAAGAAGUUCUAUCCUCCAGGUGGCGCUAUAAUUUGGUUACAUAUCACAGUAAUCAAGAACUUUAACUCUGCCAAAUAUUUUGGCGCGAAAGAAGGAGCAAAGUAAAUAAGUAAUGGUAAAAAAUUUGUACCAUUCCAGUCGAAAAAAUAUAAAAUUCAAUCGGAUCGGAAAAUUUUCCGGACAGGAGCAAGUUAAAUCAGUAGUGGUAAAAAAAAAUGUACCAGUCCAGUCGAAAAAAUAUAAUUUUGAAUCGAAUCGGAAAAUUUUCCGGACAAUGAUUCUCCGCCUAAUGCAUACGAGGUUAUUUCUUCGUGCAACCAGAAAGGCCGAGUUGUUCCGAUUGUGGUGUUAUUGCAGUUUUCUUUAAUUUUGAAAAAAAUAACUGAAGCAACGAAGUUACAACACGACGCCGGAAAUACUGCGGUUCCUGCAAACAAAAAAAAAAUAGAAAAGAAGACACAGAUUUCGCAAAUCUAUGCUAUGGCGAAGACAAC
RNAcentral lists this long non-coding RNA (778 nucleotides) under Mytilus galloprovincialis (Mediterranean mussel). The record is from RNAcentral. Lineage: Eukaryota; Metazoa; Mollusca; Bivalvia; Mytilida; Mytilidae.